UUAGAAUCCCCUUCCUCUCAAACUCUCUCUGCAACACCACUUAAAUCCUUAGACGUUGCCACACUGAUCCACCAUAAUACCUACCUAAUACAUGGCCUUCUGUGGUCAUUUAAGACCUGUACCAGCCUUCCAUGCCUCUAUAUGUUUGUUGUUAUGGUUUCAAGGCCAGAACUUGAAGGUGCCUAGUCCACUACUUGUUCAAUUUAAGUUCGUGGCUUUUCUUCGAUCAUCCUUGACCUUUCUCCGGCCAACCAUGGCAGUUCGAGUCAGAUCCUUGACUCUCCUAGUUAGAUCGGUAAAUUUCAGGGCCUUUCUCACCUUUCCUGGGUUUUUGAAACCCUAAUCUUUAAUAUCUUUUCAACUUCCUUUCAUAUCUGUCUUUACCUUGAACUUUUAAGCUUCUUCUCGAAGUUUCUUCAAUUUUGCUUUUAAAAACGACCCUUUAUCUUUUCCUAUUAGGGUUUUCCUAUUAAGUUAUUUCAAAAUCUCUUCUCUAAUUUUUAACAUGUUUAAGAUGUGUGCUUGUUUCUUAAAAUUAUUGCUUGACUUGUCUGUUUACCAUUUUUUGAACUCGUUUAUUUUUGAAAACCCUAGGUAUUUGGGUCUGAGAUUAUUGUCAGAACACUCAACUCGAAGUUCUUGUUUUAGACUCUCCUUUUUCUAUGUGACUUAUCUGAAUUUUACUAUCUUUCAAAUCGACUAUGGUUGAAACCCCAACCUCUCAAAGGGUUUCCUCACCUGCUACUAUGAGACCUUUGCAUGCUUCUAAUACUCUAUUUUUCUUCACUAUUGAUUCAAUGUGACUUGACCUACUUGAUUAUUAUGUUUCUAAUGUUUGCUAUCUACUGAACCUUAUGCUACUGUUUUAUGAUGUUUCUUUUGCCAAUGGGUUUGCUCUCACAUGUUGGUGAUUGUUAACUUUGUUUCUUUGUUGAGGUUCCUUAUUUGAUUGAUCUUCAAUCUUCUGACUAUGUUCAAAAAAUUUCUUUUAUGAACUCUAAUUUCACUAUCCUGUUAAAGUUAAUUGUUUCCUUUCCUUAUUUUGCCUUACUGAAUCUUUUUCCAAAAUAAGCAUAUUUUUGCACUUAGACUUGAUUACUUACUCAAUGGUUUUACUACUCCUUUUAUGGCAACAAUCAGUCUGCUUACAAACUGAUUUUCUUUCCUUAUUUUGAAUCUGUCACUACCGUAAACAAUGAUUCCCUAAUUAAAGGGGAUCACUGGUGUAAUUGAUUAUGAGUUGUAAUUGUUUCCAUGUUUGUGUCUUAUUACUUCUCCUUCACUCGUUUUUAAAAAGCUAUUAAUACCAUGCACCUUCUCUUCUUUAAAGGACACGAACCGCUUGAGUUCAGAACACACACUUCAUUCAAAAACUCUCUCUCUUUGCUCUACUACUUGUGUUGCUUCCUUGUCUAGCCGGCUGAAAGCUAAGGCUAGGCUGUGGAAAUUUUCCUUCUUUUCUUUCUGCAUUUGAUUCUUUACUGGUAUGUUAUGAUUAAUCUUCAAGCAUCAAUAACUACAUGUUUUGUUACUAUUUCCUCCACUCUUGCAUGUUUCCUACUUGUGUUUAAUCAAACUACAUUACCAAGCAUGUUGUAAUCUCCACUUUCCCCUUCUUAGUCAAUGUUCUUUUCCUUAUGUAUGAACCUUGUCAGUCACUUACUAUGACUUAUGAAUACCAAACCCCCAUCCCCUAUGUGUUUGUAGUCUUUGGUUGGUUUGAGGGCAUGUCAGUAUUAGACAUUGUUGUGCAUGACCCAAACUUGACCCUCCUUGGGUUAUAUGCUUCCAAUCCUCUCUAUGUAUUGUGUCCUUUGGCUGGUUUAUGGGAAUGCCAACAUCAAUUAUUGUGUCUUAUGCCCCUGUAAUUUAUUCCCAAAACCCUGACCCUUUGUGCAACUACCGAUGCUGUAUAAUUUUAGCUUUGCUUCUAUUGUUUUUGAAUUACCCUUACUCCCUUACUAUUCUCAACCCAGCUUUAUCUCUACUCUUAGAGUUAGGUUCUGCCCUCUUGUGUGAGCCUUACCUUGGGACCCACAAGCUCCCUCUGAACUUGGACACAUAAGGGUUGGCCCUUCCAGACCGCACUCAUCUCUAUCUGUUUACGCAAACAUGGUUGUAUGCACUGUCCGGGGUCCCUUGCGACCCUUAGGGAACAUUGACACACCCAGAUCUGAGAAAGGCUUUGAACCAAUGGCAUUUGAAUUGGUUUAUCUCAUAACUCAGACAGGAAGUCAAGAAUCAGGCUUCCUAUGGUUGUAACUUCUUCUUUUGUACACUUUUGAUAUAAUUCAUUACUUGGUCCGUAAUAAGUUGUCAUAAACAUUGGUGCUGGUUAGUGAAAAGGGCUGGGUAAUUUUGCAAGCUUAAGGAUAGAUAACACGCCUAUAAGACCUGUUUUCUGCAUAAUUAAUUCAGCAUUUAGAUAAUAUGCCUAUAGGACCCUUUUUAAUCUGCAUGUUUAACUCUGCAUUUAGAGAACUUGUCUAUAGCGCCUGUGUUAAACUCUGCAUCUAAAUAACAUGUUUAUAGGACUUGUUAUUACCACACUUAGACACCAUGUUCUUUGUAUCAAAACGGCUAAAAUCAGACAUCAUGUCCAUAAGGUUAAAAUUAGUACCUCUUCAUAGAAAUCAUGCUAUAGGAAUUAAAACGAGCAAUACUAGAUAUCCUGCCUAUAGGAUCUAAAACCAGCCUAGUCUAAAAUCAGUUCAACUUAUACUGUUCUGCACUAGUUUUUAAAACAACUCUCUCUCUCUCUCUCUCUUCUUAUUAACACGGUUUAGAAGGCAUGCCUAUAAGAUCUCAAAUCGUUUGUUUUACAAAAUUUACUGCUUUGCCACAUUUAGAAUUGGCAAUAGAUAUCAUGUUUAUAGGACCUCACCCAAACACUUAGGCAAGCCUUAGGUGAUAACAACUAUAAAAUUGAUUCCGCCUUUGUUAAUUAGUAAUUUAUACAACCAGCAGGAAGGCCUGAAUCGGACUUCUUAUCUAAGUCAUGUAAUAAAUUGGUCUGCUUCAACAAUUAAACUCCCCUCGCCUUUAGUAUUUUAAAUUCAGACCCUAAAUGUAUGUUUAAGUCAUGCUAUUAGUGUGUUUUCUUGAGAAGUUAUACAUGAGCCCUUUUAUUUCUUUACAUGUUUCCCCUAACAUAUAGUAUUAUGUGUUUUUAUAUGUCGCCUUAGAUAUUAAACCUUUUGAAACCCAAAGUCAGUCUAAUAUCCCUCCCCCUUAGGAAUAGUAGUCCUAAGUUCCUCCAGGACUGAUAGGAAUGGGACAGGCAAUUGCAUGCAAUAGAGGUCGAGACCAAUCCGCGCUUUAAUACCUUGAUGGGGUAGGAAGGAUAGAUAUGAAUAUGAUGACUAGUGCGCUAAUACCACCUGUAUCCCCUCUUCUGAUGAGUGUCAUAACGGGUGUCGCAUUGAUGUGAUCCAUAUUGUAAAUAAACCUAGGACCCCUUUCCCUUUUUAUUUACAAACUUCUUUUCAAAAAUUCAUCUUUUAAUAGUUGUUAUUUCAACCUCCUAUGUGUUUAAACUUAAAUCCCCUAGUAUUUGAUCCUAUACUUGUCUAUGUGCUAACUGUACAAAUUCACAAAAAACUAUCGGACCGGAAACCACAUUAGUCAAUCCUGAGGGGUGCCUAACAC
RNAcentral lists this long non-coding RNA (3648 nucleotides) under Nicotiana benthamiana. RNAcentral's name for it is "long non-coding RNA (NBEN_LNC038976)". Lineage: Eukaryota; Viridiplantae; Streptophyta; Magnoliopsida; Solanales; Solanaceae. The record is from RNAcentral.